AUACGUAGGUUGCGAGCGUUAAUCGGAAUUACUGGGCGUAAAGCGUGCGCAGGUGGUUUUGUAAGUCAGAUGUGAAAUCCCCGGGCUUAACCUGGGAACUGCGUUUGAAACUGCAAGGCUAGAGUGUGGCAGAGGGGGGUGGAAUUCCGCGUGUAGCAGUGAAAUGCGUAGAUAUGUGGAGGAACACCGAUGGCGAAGGCAGCCCCCUGGGUCAACACUGACGCUCAGGCACGAAAGCAUGGGGAGCAAACAGGAUUAGAUACCCCAGUAGUCC
Molecule: ribosomal RNA, 274 nt
Filed under: uncultured bacterium
Lineage: Bacteria
Description: partial 16S ribosomal RNA
Rfam family: Bacterial small subunit ribosomal RNA
Source: RNAcentral